CUGAAGUAACAAAUGCCCUGCUUCCAGGAAAAGCCUCUAAGCAUCAGGUAACAUCAAAUCGUACCCCAAACCGACACAGGUGGUCAGGUAGAGAAUACCAAGGCGCUUGAGAGAACUCGGGUGAAGGAACUAGGCAAAAUGGUGCCGUAACUUCGGGAGAAGGCACGCUGGUGUGUAGGUGAAGUCCCUGCGGAUGGAGCUGAGACCAGUCGAAGAUACCAGCUGGCUGCAACUGUUUAUUAAAAACACAGCACUGUGCAAACACGAAAGUGGACGUAUACGGUGUGACGCCUGCCCGGUGCCGGAAGGUUAAUUGAUGGGGUUAUCCGUAAGGAGAAGCUCUUGAUCGAAGCCCCGGUAAACGGCGGCCGUAACUAUAACGGUCCUAAGGUAGCGAAAUUCCUUGUCGGGUAAGUUCCGACCUGCACGAAUGGCGUAAUGAUGGCCAGGCUGUCUCCACCCGAGACUCAGUGAAAUUGAACUCGCUGUGAAGAUGCAGUGUACCCGCGGCAAGACGGAAAGACCCCGUGAACCUUUACUAUAGCUUGACACUGAACAUUGAGCCUUGAUGUGUAGGAUAGGUGGGAGGCUUUGAAGCGUGGACGCCAGUCUGCGUGGAGCCAACCUUGAAAUACCACCCUUUAAUGUUUGAUGUUCUAACGUUGGCCCCUUAUCGGGGUUGCGGACAGUGUCUGGUGGGUAGUUUGACUGGGGCGGUCUCCUCCCAAAGCGUAACGGAGGAGCACGAAGGUUAGCUAAUCCUGGUCGGACAUCAGGAGGUUAGUGCAAUGGCAUAAGCUAGCUUGACUGCGAGCGUGACGGCGCGAGCAGGUGCGAAAGCAGGUCAUAGUGAUCCGGUGGUUCUGAAUGGAAGGGCCAUCGCUCAACGGAUAAAAGGUACUCCGGGGAUAACAGGCUGAUACCGCCCAAGAGUUCAUAUCGACGGCGGUGUUUGGCACCUCGAUGUCGGCUCAUCACAUCCUGGGGCUGAAGUAGGUCCCAAGGGUAUGGCUGUUCGCCAUUUAAAGUGGUACGCGAGCUGGGUUUAGAACGUCGUGAGACAGUUCGGUCCCUAUCUGCCGUGGGCGCUGGAGAAUUGAGGGGGGCUGCUCCUAGUACGAGAGGACCGGAGUGGACGCAUCACUGGUGUUCGGGUUGUCAUGCCAAUGGCACUGCCCGGUAGCUAAAUGCGGAAGAGAUAAGUGCUGAAAGCAUCUAAGCACGAAACUUGCCCCGAGAUGAGUUCUCCCUGAGACUUUAAGUCUCCUGAAGGAACGUUGAAGACGACGACGUUGAUAGGCCGGGUGUGUAAGCGCAGCGAUGCGUUGAGCUAACCGGUACUAAUGAACCGUGAGGCUUAACCUU
This 1365-nucleotide ribosomal RNA is filed under the name Klebsiella quasipneumoniae. Its description in RNAcentral is "partial 23S ribosomal RNA". It matches the Rfam family "Bacterial large subunit ribosomal RNA", at positions 1585 to 2925 of the family's 2925-position model. Lineage: Bacteria; Pseudomonadati; Pseudomonadota; Gammaproteobacteria; Enterobacterales; Enterobacteriaceae. The record is from RNAcentral.